This 1096-nucleotide long non-coding RNA is filed under the name Cairina moschata (Muscovy duck). Its description in RNAcentral is "domestica (muscovy Duck (domestic type)) lncRNA (ENSCMMG00000005311.1)". The record is from RNAcentral. Lineage: Eukaryota; Metazoa; Chordata; Aves; Anseriformes; Anatidae.
CAACAGCCAGCGCCGCGCUGCUUCCCUGCUGCAUCAAGGAGGGAGAGCCCGUCCCUGGUCUGCUCAAGGACCGGGUCUUCCAAACACUGGUGUUGCACCUCAGCCUUUUUUCUUCUCACAUUUGUGUUUUUAGGGCAACUUUUCUGCCCAGCCAACAGCUGAGAGAAAAAAAGGCUGCACCUAAAAAUAACCGUGCUGCGCUGACAGCAGUGAGUCACCACAGCACCAAGAGACAACAGCCGUGGCAGGAGGCAGCCGCCCGCCCUUCAGCCUCACACGUUCAUGGGCCUGGGUCAUGGUGCUGGGCGCUUCCUCCCCCAUGAAAACUCCUCUUCCUGAGAACACAGAUCCACACGUACAUCGAUAUUGAUACUGAGGUAAAACACACUGCUUUCCCUCACCCCGAUGGCUUAGACAUUGCAAACCGUUACUGAGUGUACCUCCCACCCCCCGUGCAUCCAGGUUGGCAGAAAAAAAGGUGAUUUUUUCCCUAACCCUGAGAUGAAACAACCCCCAUUUGCUGGAGCUCUCUUCUUUGGGAGGUAUUUCUGGAGGGAAAGAAGAGCUGCUGUUAAUGAUAAUAAUUAAUCAUUAGUGAUAACAACCAAGGGAAGCACUGAAAAGGUCAUCGAGUGACUCCUGUGUCUUAAUUUGCAGGGAGGCUCCUUUUUCUUUGAUUUCCCAUGAAUUCAGUUAUUUUUUCACCCUGUCCCCUGCAGUCUGGGCAGUGCUAUCAGGCAGCCUGGGGUCUGGCAGGGUUCUGGGUUUGACCACUGCGGUUCCCCCUCCACGGGGUGCAGAGGAAGGACAUCCCAGCGGGGUUUCUCCCGCUCGCUGCCUCGAGGCUGCGUCCCGAAGAACCUGACCUCGGCCCGAGGCCACCCUGAUAGGGGUGUGCCAGCAGCAGCUGCGGCAGCCCCACAAGUGCUGCAAGGAGACCCUGUUGGAGAGAAAGCCUGCUCCAUGGAGCCAUCCCUAAGGAUGCCUCACCUUUCAGCCUUGACUUUCUAAGGACAGGCUUCAAAUCCACCAGGAACUGGGCAAAACCUGCUGGGGCGGAAAACAGAGCACCUCUGCCCAGGAUCCAGUUAAAAGG